UGCGUAGAGAUGCGGAGGAACACCGAUGGCGAAGGCAGCCCCCUGGGCUAACACUGACGCUCAGGCACGAAAGCGUGGGGAGCAAACAGGAUUAGAUACCCUGGUAGUCCACGCCCUAAACCAUGUCAACUGGGUGUUCGGGAAGCGAUUUCUGAGUACCGUAGCUAACGCGUGAAGUUGACCGCCUGGGGAGUACGGCCGCAAGGUUAAAACUCAAAGGAAUUGACGGGGACCCGCACAAGCGGUGGAUGAUGUGGAUUAAUUCGAUGCAACGCGAACAACCUUACCUACCCUUGACAUGUCUGGAAGGCCCCUGAGAGGGGGUUGUGCCCGAAAGGGAACCGGAACACAGGUGCU
This 357-nucleotide ribosomal RNA is filed under the name uncultured beta proteobacterium. Its description in RNAcentral is "bacterial SSU rRNA". It matches the Rfam family "Bacterial small subunit ribosomal RNA", at positions 687 to 1042 of the family's 1533-position model. The record is from RNAcentral. Lineage: Bacteria; Pseudomonadati; Pseudomonadota; Betaproteobacteria.